RNAcentral lists this ribosomal RNA (803 nucleotides) under uncultured bacterium. RNAcentral's name for it is "bacterial SSU rRNA". It matches the Rfam family "Bacterial small subunit ribosomal RNA", at positions 625 to 1428 of the family's 1533-position model. The record is from RNAcentral.
UCUGGAAACUNUCUGACUUGAGUGCAGAAGGGGAGAGUGGANUUCCAUGUGUAGCGGUGAAAUGCGUAGAUAUAUGGAGGANCACCAGUGGCGAAAGCGGCUCUCUGGUCUGUCACUGACGCUGAGGCUCGAAAGCGUGGGUAGCGAACAGGAUUAGAUACCCUGGUAGUNCACGCCGUAAACGAUGAGUGCUAGGUGUUAGGCCCUUUCCGGGGCUUAGUGCCGGAGCUAACGCAAUAAGCACCCCGCCUGGGGAGUACGACCGCAAGGUUGAAACUCAAAGGAAUUGACGGGGGCCCGCACAAGCGGUGGAGCAUGUGGUUUAAUUCGAAGCAACGCGAAGAACCUUACCAGGUCUUGACAUCCCGAUGCUAUUCUUAGAGAUAGGAAGUUACUUCGGUACAUCGGAGACAGGUGGUGCAUGGUUGUCGUCAGCUCGUGUCGUGAGAUGUUGGGUUAAGUCCCGCAACGAGCGCAACCCUUAUUGUUAGUUGCCAUCAUUAAGUUGGGCACUCUAGCGAGACUGCCGGUAAUAAACCGGAGGAAGGUGGGGAUGACGUCAAAUCAUCAUGCCCCUUAUGACCUGGGCUACACACGUGCUACAAUGGUCGGUACAACGAGUUGCGAGCCGGUGACGGCAAGCUAAUCUCUGAAAGCCGAUCUCAGUUCGGAUUGGAGGCUGCAACUCGCCUCCAUGAAGUCGGAAUCGCUAGUAAUCGCGGAUCAGCACGCCGCGGUGAAUACGUUCCCGGGCCUUGUACACACCGCCCGUCACACCACGAGAGUUUGUAACACCCGAAGUC